AUUGAACGCUGGCGGAAUGCUUUACACAUGCAAGUCGAGCGGCAGCGCGGGGGCAACCCUGGCGGCGAGCGGCGAACGGGUGAGUAAUACAUCGGAACGUGUCCUUAAGUGGGGGAUAGCUCGGCGAAAGCUGGAUUAAUACCGCAUAAGCUCUGAGGAGGAAAGCGGGGGCUCCGUAAGGACCUCGCGCUGUUGGAGCGGCCGAUGUCGGAUUAGCUAGUUGGUGGGGUAAAGGCCCACCAAGGCGACGAUCCGUAGCUGGUCUGAGAGGAUGAUCAGCCACACUGGGACUGAGACACGGCCCAGACUCCUACGGGAGGCAGCAGUGGGGAAUCUUGCGCAAUGGGCGAAAGCCU
Molecule: ribosomal RNA, 356 nt
Filed under: uncultured bacterium
Lineage: Bacteria
Description: bacterial SSU rRNA
Rfam family: Bacterial small subunit ribosomal RNA
Source: RNAcentral